RNAcentral lists this long non-coding RNA (495 nucleotides) under Struthio camelus australis. RNAcentral describes it as "lncRNA (ENSSCUG00000006140.1)". Lineage: Eukaryota; Metazoa; Chordata; Aves; Struthioniformes; Struthionidae. The record is from RNAcentral.
UGCUCCCCCCCAAACGCAGAUGUUAGCUCUGCAGAAGAAGCAUCCACAGAGGAGGAGGGAAAAGGCUGAAUUCUUCUUUUAAAGCUAACUUCAAGGAGGCAGCUGCAUCUUGUAGCAAAGACAAUGCACCUAAAGAAGAAGAAGAAAAAUGAAAGAAUGAAUGAAACUAGUUUUCUACAGGCUGGCAGAAAGGUCAUGAUUGUUGGAUGGUGGAUUGGAUUCGAAGAGAUGGUGACUUGCCUUUCAGAAGCCCGAAAACUCAACAAAUCCAGUGAUCUGUACUGAGAAACUGGACAGCUGGAUAACAAGUGGUGUCCCAACGUGCUAGGAAGAGGGAUCCGCCCCUUAUGACCAGCACAUACUCCAGCUCCAGUAGCUCCAGCUACUUCUCUAAUCUCUCCGAAGGCUUGCUCCAUCCCUCACAUCUGCACAAUGAGUGCCUGGAGCGCUGCUGUGUGCUCCUCGUAAGGAAAUAAAGUGCCGCACAGGCAUGCA